UAUAUACACAUCAGGAAUCAAGAGAAGCAUCAAGAUAAAAAAACAAGGAAAAAACAAGAUAAAGGAAGAGAAAUUGCAGAACCUACGAUGUUAGUAAAGUAAAUAAAAAGAAUUAAACAUAUUUUAAGAUUUAUAUAUCAUUUUGUUUCGAUUUAAAAUGUUUAGAGUAUAUAUACCCUUUAAAGAUUAUGCAUAGUUGGUUCAUUUUAAUCAUUGAAAUUUUUUUUUUGUGGGAAGAAUAGCAGUCAAUUUAACCCAGGAAUUGUACAAUGACACUCAGUCUCAGAAAACACACAGAACUAGAAAGAACAAGACAAUUUCUGCAAUGAUGUCACACAUAGUAAUUUUGUUAUCUAGGAUCUUCUGGUAGGUUUUGGGUUUGGAGAACACCAAAGACUAGAAGGAAAACAGCCCCUGGUAAUGGGUCCAUGACGGUGAAGACAUUGAAGAAGUUACUCCUAUACUGGGAAAUCAAAAAAAAAAUGUGAAAGCAUAAUGAUUAAAAAGAUUAACAAGAAAGCUGAGACAGGAGAAGAGCACAGCGGAUUAGCUGAACCACAGAGUGAGGGCUGAAUAGUCACUUAACAAGGACUGACCCAGACUCACGUAUAGACCAGGAGUCAGACGUAAUGAUCAAUGUUGUCUAUUUGUGCAUAAUUUUGCAUAAUUUUCUCUUUUCUUUUGAAAACCUGUAUUUUCAAAAAUUUAUUUAAACCAAUUUAAACUACACCAUUUAUAUAUGUAUUUAUAUCUUUGUGUGUGAAUAAGUUUUUAUAAUAAUAAUUAUUGAGUGAGAGUUUGAUGCCAUACGACAGAAACAACACUUGGGGCAACAAUGUAGGGAUUCAAGAUGUUGACAUAGAGAAAAUUAAGGUGCGGAUAGGGUUGUUAAUACCAUCUAGUGGCUGGUUCCUGUUGAAGUUUCCUCAGGAUAGCCGGUGCUCAUUAACAAAUUUCAUACGGUAAAGGGUAUGAUUAGAAGCAUUGGGGGCAAAAUGCUCUCAACUUAUUCUCAAACUUUAAAUGGGUGAUAAGUCUGUGUUGCUUGAAUAAACUCGGACACUGUAUUGGAGUGCCUAGUGGGCCAUUUUUGGUAAGCAGAACUGGUGCUGCAGAAUGAAUCGAACGCAAGGUUAAAGUGCCCAAAUGGAAGCUCAUCAGACCCCACAAAAGGUGUUGGUUGAUUAAGACAGCAAGACGGUGGCCAUGGAAGUCAGAAGGAGUGUGUAACAACUCCCUGCCAAACCAUAAAAACGGCUACCACAUCCAAGGAAGGCAGCAGGGUAACAACUCACCUGCCGAAGCAACCAGCCCUGAAAAUGGAUGGCGCUUAAGCUUCCUACUUAUACCUUGCCAUUGAGCCAGAGCAGGUCCUUGUGACCCUGAAGACUCAACAAGUAGGCAGGUCAAACCGGUGGUGAGGAAGGCUCUGGGAGUGAUCCUGACUGGAGCUGCCAGUUGUGCAUAUCUUGGUGGUAGUAGCAAAUACUCCAGGGAGGCCCUGGAGGACCGAUGUGGAGAUGGGUUUCGUGUGAACAGCCGUGGAACAUGAGUCAGUUGAUCCUAAGGCAUAGUGGAAGCAUUGUUCAAUGGAGCAGUGAUCUAUGGUCGUACAGAUAGAGCCAUGCCCAGGUGAGCAUCAGGUGGGACCUUGAAAAUCAAGCUCAGGGCUUCAGCGAUUCGCACCAGCUCGUACCCAUAUCCACAUCAGGUCUCCUAGGUAAUCAGCCUCUGGUGGAUAGAAUAAUGUAGGUAAGGGAAGUCAGCAAAUUGGUUCCAUAACUUAGGGAAAAGCAAUGGCUCUGAAAGCUAGGGUGUUUGGGCUUAGUGCAGGAAGCAGUCGGCUUCUCAGUGGGCCUGACCAAGCCUUCGUGAUGAAGUCGGUCCCAUUCUCAAGCUACUGUGGAGUGCCUUUGCUUCGCGGUUCUGGUCAACAAUUAAUGGCUAAUUCAGAACUGGCACAGACAAGGGGAAUCCGACUGUUUAUUAAAACAAAGCAUUGCAAUGGUCAGAGAGUGAUGUUAAUGCAAUGUGAUUUCUGCCCAGUGCUCUGAAUGUCAAAGUUAAGAGGUUCAUGACUGGAGUGGUUACGGAAGUUCUGAGAGAAUAUUGGAAAGAAGUAUUCGAUAGAACCCCAGUGUGAAAUCUUUGAAAGCAAGACCAAACAUCCCACUCUUUAUGGUCAAUAACUAAGAAAAAAGUUGGGGAAGGAUUGAAGGCCCUCAAAACCAAGUCAGCAGCAGGAGUUGAUGGGGUAACUUGUGCAGAUCUAAGAAAGGCUAAAGUUUGAAAGAUUGUAACACUCUUUCGAAUAUUGAUGGCAUUGCAGAGAACAUAUGGAUAGUCUCUGAAUUGCAAGAACUGGCAAAGAAAAACAAAAGAGGAAUUGCGUUAAUUUUCCUGGAUGUUUCCAAAGCAUUUGACUCAAUUGGACAUCUGAUUACCCAGCAGGUGGCAGAGAGAUUACGAGUUCCUAAGGAUAUCAGAAAAUACUGUGUUAUACUCCUUCUCAAAACUGGUGUUUAAAGGAUUCACACUGAAAUUCAAACAGAAUGGAGGAAUAAGACAAGGUGACCAAAUGUCAGGUCCUUUGUUUAAUGGAAUGGUGGAUCUAGGUAAUGAAGACCUAGAUCAGAACCUGCAGUAUAUAAUUAAUGAGGAAGUUGGAAUAGCAGAAGGAUUAUUUGCAGAUGAUGAGUUCCUAGCAGCAGAGGGUACAAUGGCCCUCCAUUACCAGGUAGACUGAUCAAUACCAAGAUAUAGGAAGUGUGGGCUCCAGAUGAAUGCGGGCAAAUAUUAAUCGAUCAUAAUUGUAUACAACGCUCAGACUAAGAAGUACAUGGUGAGCAGUUAUUUCCAUAUAAUACCAGUUAUUUUGAUAAAUGGUGAUUUGGUACCCCUUUUUUCUCUCUUGAGGAGACCUGCAAGUAUCUGGAGGUCAAACUUGGUGCAGGAACUCCCAAGGAUAAGGAUAUUCUUGAUUCCUUGAGAGUGAAGCUAGAAAGAGUGGAUAAGUCUUGUCUGAAGCCACAACAGAGGCUGAUGGCACUGAUGUGACACAUUGUGCUGUCUCUUUAUCAUGUGCAGCAAGAGAGCCAGAUAAAGUCUAUUGACACUAGACAGGAAUUUUCAAUUUUUUGU
Molecule: ribosomal RNA, 3141 nt
Filed under: Eurytemora affinis
Lineage: Eukaryota; Metazoa; Arthropoda; Copepoda; Calanoida; Temoridae
Description: eukaryotic LSU rRNA
Rfam family: Eukaryotic large subunit ribosomal RNA (bases 1-2234)
Source: RNAcentral